UACCCGCAGCCCGAGUGGUGCUCGUUAUUAUUGGGCCUAAAGCGUCCGUAACCGGCUUCGUAAAUGCCUAGGGAAAUCGAUGCGCUCAACGCAUCGAAGGCCUGGGUAGACUGCGAGGCUCGAGACCGGGAGAGGCCAGAGGUACUCCAGGGGUAGAGGUGAAAUUCUGUAAUCCUUGGGGGACCACCGGUGGCGAAGGCGUCUGGCUAGAACGGAUCUGACGGCGAGGGACGAAGCCCUGGGGCGCAAACGGG
RNAcentral lists this ribosomal RNA (254 nucleotides) under uncultured Methanolinea sp. RNAcentral's name for it is "partial 16S ribosomal RNA". It matches the Rfam family "Archaeal small subunit ribosomal RNA", at positions 474 to 727 of the family's 1478-position model. The record is from RNAcentral. Lineage: Archaea; Methanobacteriati; Methanobacteriota; Methanomicrobia; Methanomicrobiales; Methanoregulaceae.